AUCUAUGGCCAUACCACCCUGAACAUGCCCAAUCUUGUCUGAUCUUAGAAGCUAAGCAGAGUCAGGCCUGCUAAGUACUUGGAUGGGAGACCACUUGGAAAUACCUAGUGCUGUAGGCU
RNAcentral lists this ribosomal RNA (119 nucleotides) under Neotoma lepida (desert woodrat). The record is from RNAcentral. Lineage: Eukaryota; Metazoa; Chordata; Mammalia; Rodentia; Cricetidae.